RNAcentral lists this transfer RNA (69 nucleotides) under Cavia porcellus (domestic guinea pig). It matches the Rfam family "tRNA". Rfam says of the family: Transfer RNA (tRNA) molecules are approximately 80 nucleotides in length. Their secondary structure includes four short double-helical elements and three loops (D, anti-codon, and T loops). The record is from Rfam by way of RNAcentral. Lineage: Eukaryota; Metazoa; Chordata; Mammalia; Rodentia; Caviidae.
GGGAAUGUGGCUCAAGGGUAGAGUUCUUGCUUUGCAUGCACAAGGUCCUGGGUUCAAUUCCCAGCACCA